GACGAACGCUGGCGGCGUGCCUAAUACAUGCAAGUAGAACGCACAGUUUAUACCGUAGCUUGCUACACCAUAAACUGUGAGUUGCGAACGGGUGAGUAACGCGUAGGUAACCUGCCUGGUAGCGGGGGAUAACUAUUGGAAACGAUAGCUAAUACCGCAUAAUAUUGAUUAUUGCAUGAUAAUUGAUUGAAAGAUGCUAUUGCAUCACUACCAGAUGGACCUGCGUUGUAUUAGCUAGUAGGUGAGGUAACGGCUCACCUAGGCGACGAUACAUAGCCGACCUGAGAGGGUGAUCGGCCACACUGGGACUGAGACACGGCCCAGAAUCCUACGGGAGGCAGCAGUAGGGAAUCUUCGGCAAUGGACGAAAGUCUGACCGAGCAACGCCGCGUGAGUGAAGAAGGUUUUCGGAUCGUAAAGCUCUGUUGUAAGGGAAGAACGGGUGUGAGAGUGGAAAGUUCACACUGUGACGGUAUCUUACCAGAAAGGGACGGCUAACUACGUG
Molecule: ribosomal RNA, 505 nt
Filed under: uncultured bacterium
Lineage: Bacteria
Description: partial 16S ribosomal RNA
Rfam family: Bacterial small subunit ribosomal RNA
Source: RNAcentral